RNAcentral lists this long non-coding RNA (337 nucleotides) under Erythranthe guttata (spotted monkey flower). RNAcentral describes it as "long non-coding RNA (EGUT_LNC003810)". The record is from RNAcentral. Lineage: Eukaryota; Viridiplantae; Streptophyta; Magnoliopsida; Lamiales; Phrymaceae.
CAUAUGGUAAAUGAACUAUAUGUUUUUUCCUUUCCCAAAAGGCAUUGGGAAUAUCUGAGCAAAUUGUUUGAACAAUAUGUUCUUGUAUUUCUUGUAUUUUCUUUUGUAUAUCUGGUUGCUGAAUUUUCUCAGCAAUCUUUUUAUAAGAUAUUUCUUUUGUAAGUGAAUUUAAAAAACUUUCUUUUCUUUUUAUUUGUUUUUGUAAAACAUCAAUCUCGUGAUAACGAGGUUGUGUAGUAAAUUGAAAUGUUAUUUCUUGUGAUUUUACAAUACUAGUAAUACCUUUCUCAUCCACAUUUUUUAUAGGGUAGAGCAUGUGUAAGAAAGGAUUUCCCAA